RNAcentral lists this ribosomal RNA (492 nucleotides) under uncultured bacterium. RNAcentral describes it as "partial 16S ribosomal RNA". It matches the Rfam family "Bacterial small subunit ribosomal RNA", at positions 29 to 507 of the family's 1533-position model. The record is from RNAcentral.
AGUGAACGCUGGCGGUAGGCCUAACACAUGCAAGUCGAACGGCAGCACAGCAAGAGCUUGCUCUUACGGGUGGCGAGUGGCGGACGGGUGAGGAAUACAUCGGAAUCUACUUUUUCGUGGGGGAUAACGUAGGGAAACUUACGCUAAUACCGCAUACGACCUACGGGUGAAAGCAGGGGAUCUUCGGACCUUGCGCGAUUGAAUGAGCCGAUGUCGGAUUAGUUAGUUGGCGGGGUAAAGGCCCACCAAGGCGACGAUCCGUAGCUGGUCUGAGAGGAUGAUCAGCCACACUGGAACUGAGACACGGUCCAGACUCCUACGGGAGGCAGCAGUGGGGAAUAUUGGACAAUGGGCGCAAGCCUGAUCCAGCCAUACCGCGUGGGUGAAGAAGGCCUUCGGGUUGUAAAGCCCUUUUGUUGGGAGAGAAAAGCAGCAGGUUAAUACCCCGCUGUUCUGACGGUACCCAAAGAAUAAGCACCGGCUAACUUCGUG